Molecule: ribosomal RNA, 321 nt
Filed under: Margarinotus multidens
Lineage: Eukaryota; Metazoa; Arthropoda; Insecta; Coleoptera; Histeridae
Description: partial small subunit ribosomal RNA
Source: RNAcentral
AACUAGGAUAAGAUACCCUAUUAUUUUAGGCGUAAAUACAAGUGUUUGAUUAGUAUUAGUUAUGUUCUUGAAAAUUAAAGAUUUCGGCGGUAUUUUAGUCCAUUCAGAGGAACCUGUCCUGUAAAUGAUGCCCCACGAGCUGUGAAAUCUUACUUAGAAGUUUGUAUAUCGUCGUGGUAUGAGAAUUCUAUAAGGAGUUCAAUUCUCGAGAUUUAAUUUAUGAAGGAUAUCAGAUCAAGGUGCAGCUUUAUAUAAGGAGGAGGAUGGGUUACAAUAAGGUUUACUUAAACGAACUAAUUAGUUUAAUUAGAGUAUUUAGUG